Molecule: transfer RNA, 90 nt
Filed under: Candidatus Atopostipes pullistercoris
Lineage: Bacteria; Bacillati; Bacillota; Bacilli; Lactobacillales; Carnobacteriaceae
Description: tRNA-Ser
Rfam family: tRNA
About the family: Transfer RNA (tRNA) molecules are approximately 80 nucleotides in length.
Source: RNAcentral
GGAGGAUUACCCAAGUUCGGCUGAAGGGAUCGGUCUUGAAAACCGACAGGUGGUUAACGCCACGCGGGGGUUCAAAUCCCUCAUCCUCCU